RNAcentral lists this ribosomal RNA (253 nucleotides) under uncultured bacterium. RNAcentral's name for it is "partial 16S ribosomal RNA". It matches the Rfam family "Bacterial small subunit ribosomal RNA", at positions 524 to 776 of the family's 1533-position model. The record is from RNAcentral.
UACGGAGGGUCCAAGCGUUAUCCGGAAUCAUUGGGUUUAAAGGGUCCGUAGGCGGUUUUGUAAGUCAGUGGUGAAAGCCCAUCGCUCAACGGUGGAACGGCCAUUGAUACUGCAAGACUUGAAUUAUUAGGAAGUAACUAGAAUAUGUAGUGUAGCGGUGAAAUGCUUAGAUAUUACAUGGAAUACCAAUUGCAAAGGCAGGUUACUACUAAUGGAUUGACGCUGAUGGACGAAAGCGUGGGGAGCGAACAGG